ACGAGGGGGUGCUAUACAUGCAAGUCGAACGCUUCUUUUUCCACCGGAGCUUGCUCCACCGGAAAAAGAGGAGUGGCGAACGGGUGAGUAACACGUGGGUAACCUGCCCAUCAGAAGGGGAUAACACUUGGAAACAGGUGCUAAUACCGUAUAACAAUCAAAACCGCAUGGUUUUGAUUUGAAAGGCGCUUUCGGGUGUCGCUGAUGGAUGGACCCGCGGUGCAUUAGCUAGUUGGUGAGGUAACGGCUCACCAAGGCCACGAUGCAUAGCCGACCUGAGAGGGUGAUCGGCCACAUUGGGACUGAGACACGGCCCAAACUCCUACGGGAGGCAGCAGUAGGGAAUCUUCGGCAAUGGACGAAAGUCUGACCGAGCAACGCCGCGUGAGUGAAGAAGGUUUUCGGAUCGUAAAACUCUGUUGUUAGAGAAGAACAAGGAUGAGAGUAACUGUUCAUCCCUUGACGGUAUCUAACCAGAAAGCCACGGCUAACUACGUGCCAGCAGCCGCGGUAAUACGUAGGUGGCAAGCGUUGUCCGGAUUUAUUGGGCGUAAAGCGAGCGCAGGCGGUUUCUUAAGUCUGAUGUGAAAGCCCCCGGCUCAACCGGGGAGGGUCAUUGGAAACUGGGAGACUUGAGUGCAGAAGAGGAGAGUGGAAUUCCAUGUGUAGCGGUGAAAUGCGUAGAUAUAUGGAGGAACACCAGUGGCGAAGGCGGCUCUCUGGUCUGUAACUGACGCUGAGGCUCGAAAGCGUGGGGAGCAAACAGGAUUAGAUACCCUGGUAGUCCACGCCGUAAACGAUGAGUGCUAAGUGUUGGAGGGUUUCCGCCCUUCAGUGCUGCAGCUAACGCAUUAAGCACUCCGCCUGGGGAGUACGACCGCAAGGUUGAAACUCAAAGGAAUUGACGGGGGCCCGCACAAGCGGUGGAGCAUGUGGUUUAAUUCGAAGCAACGCGAAGAACCUUACCAGGUCUUGACAUCCUUUGACCACUCUAGAGAUAGAGCUUCCCCUUCGGGGGCAAAGUGACAGGUGGUGCAUGGUUGUCGUCAGCUCGUGUCGUGAGAUGUUGGGUUAAGUCCCGCAACGAGCGCAACCCUUAUUGUUAGUUGCCAUCAUUCAGUUGGGCACUCUAGCAAGACUGCCGGUGACAAACCGGAGGAAGGUGGGGAUGACGUCAAAUCAUCUGCCCCUAUGACUGGGCUAA
This 1204-nucleotide ribosomal RNA is filed under the name Enterococcus faecium. RNAcentral's name for it is "bacterial SSU rRNA". It matches the Rfam family "Bacterial small subunit ribosomal RNA", at positions 37 to 1216 of the family's 1533-position model. The record is from RNAcentral. Lineage: Bacteria; Bacillati; Bacillota; Bacilli; Lactobacillales; Enterococcaceae.